This 608-nucleotide long non-coding RNA is filed under the name Gossypium raimondii (Peruvian cotton). Its description in RNAcentral is "long non-coding RNA (GRAI_LNC005307)". The record is from RNAcentral. Lineage: Eukaryota; Viridiplantae; Streptophyta; Magnoliopsida; Malvales; Malvaceae.
CAAGUAUAGGAUCUUUUAAAAUUCUCAUUCAAACCCAAGUUAUACCCAAAAAUCAAGGGAGUCGUGUUCCACUCCUAAUCACAAGACCUUCCGCCCAGAAGUCAUGGCAGUUCAUUCUGCAUCACUGUCAAAGCCAAAGCAUUUGAGACAGGUCAAGUAAGUUAACAAUUUAAACUGGGAAUAAUUAGUGGAUCGUUCAGUUUUGAAAAAUACAAUGCUCAGGAGGAAAUUCCUUGUUCUCCUUCAAGUAGGAACAAGUAAGCUAAAAGAAAGCCUAUAGCUCCUAAAUAAUAAGAGAACAUGGUUUAUCCGGUCAUCUACUCGAUCUCUUGUUCACUUCUUCAUUUUCAUAUUUUCUAAACAAAUUAAGAUAUUUAAUAGUUAAAACAAUAGGCAUUCAUAAACAUGUUACCUGAACAAUUGAAGACUCAGUGCUGGACUGUGGACUCGGCGGAAACGAUGGCUGUGUCAGUGGUGUUUACCGUCUGGACGCUGUCGCUUACGCUUCUCGAAAUCAAAGACGAAAGAAGGAUUAAGAAAAGUUUGCAGAGAAAAAUCUGGGGUUCCAAAUUUGGGCGUUUAAGAAUCGGGGUUGAGGAAGAAAAAAA